This 208-nucleotide ribosomal RNA is filed under the name Scutellospora aurigloba. RNAcentral describes it as "partial small subunit ribosomal RNA". The stretch from base 84 to 208 matches the Rfam family "Eukaryotic small subunit ribosomal RNA", at positions 736 to 863 of the family's 1831-position model. Lineage: Eukaryota; Fungi; Glomeromycota; Glomeromycetes; Diversisporales; Gigasporaceae. The record is from RNAcentral.
GGAUUCUACCGUCGGUCGGGCUAACAAGUCUGUACUGGUGUGUAGAAUUUCUACCUUCUGGGGAACCAUCAUGUUUAGCGUGGUGGGAAACCAGGACUUUUACCUUGAAAAAAUUAGAGUGUUCAAAGCAGGCUUACGUCUGAAUACAUUAGCAUGGAAUAAUAGAAUAGGACGGUGGUCCUGUUUUGUUGGUUUCUGAAUCACCGUA